Acanthosepion pharaonis is the source of this 109-nucleotide non-coding RNA. NCBI's taxonomy places the organism in Eukaryota, Metazoa, Mollusca, Cephalopoda, Sepiida, Sepiidae. The record is from the annotation of a GenBank genome assembly.
ACAGCCAUAUCCUGUAGAAACCGGUUCUCAUCCGAUCCCCGAAGUAAGCAACGUGGAACCUGGUCAAUACCUAGAUGGGUAACCGCUUGGGAAUACCCAGUGCUGUAAG